Molecule: ribosomal RNA, 253 nt
Filed under: uncultured bacterium
Lineage: Bacteria
Description: partial 16S ribosomal RNA
Rfam family: Bacterial small subunit ribosomal RNA
Source: RNAcentral
UACGUAGGGUGCAAGCGUUAAUCGGAAUUACUGGGCGUAAAGCGUGCGCAGGCGGCUUUGCAAGACAGAUGUGAAAUCCCCGGGCUUAACCUGGGAACUGCGUCUGAUACUGGGAGGCUUGAGUAUGGGAGAGGGAUGUAGAAUUCCAGGUGUAGCGGUGAAAUGCGUAGAUAUCUGGAGGAAUACCGGUGGCGAAGGCGGCAUCCUGGACCAUUACUGACGCUGAGGCGCGAAAGCUAGGGGAGCAAACGGG